Molecule: long non-coding RNA, 452 nt
Organism: Sardina pilchardus (European sardine)
Lineage: Eukaryota; Metazoa; Chordata; Actinopteri; Clupeiformes; Clupeidae
Exons: 3
Source: RefSeq, a predicted model, not a curated record
GUUAAUUGUCAAUUGUCGGGUUCACAUCUGAUGACAUUAGCCUACGUCGUCGGAUGUCUCUGGAGUGAAGCCAGUGAAGUCCCCGGAGAACAAUGGCUGCCUGUCAACGGUUGUCUGACUUCGGCAAAAGGUUAUCAAGGAACGUAGUGGUGUACUGGAUGGAGCUGCAAAGCCUAGCACUACCUUACACUGACAGACUUUGACUAGAUUUGGGAAAGAUUCUUGACAAGAUUGUAGUCUUUUAACUAAUAUAAUGCCCCUCAUUCAAGUUUUAGGCUACUCAAAAGACUACAAUCUUUCAAGAAUCUUUCCCAAAUCUUGUCAAAGUUUGUCAGUGUAAGGUAGGCUUAAUCAGGAUUUCUGGAGCAAGGAAGCUGAAAGAAACAUUCCAUGACAAAUUGAUUGAUUGGUGCCAGGGACAGGGGUGGCAAUUGCCUCUCAAGGCAGACACC